Molecule: ribosomal RNA, 460 nt
Filed under: uncultured bacterium
Lineage: Bacteria
Description: partial 16S ribosomal RNA
Rfam family: Bacterial small subunit ribosomal RNA
Source: RNAcentral
CCUACGGGAGGCAGCAGUGAGGAAUAUUGGUCAAUGGGCGCGAGCCUGAACCAGCCAAGUCGCGUGAGGGAGGACGGCCCUACGGGUUGUAAACCUCUUUUGCCGGGGAGCAACGGGCGCCACGUGUGGCGCCACUGAGAGUACCCGGAGAAAAAGCAUCGGCUAACUCCGUGCCAGCAGCCGCGGUAAUACGGAGGAUGCGAGCGUUAUCCGGUUUUAUUGGGUUUAAGGGGUGCGUAGGCGGAUCGUUAAGUCAGUGGUCAAAUUGAGGGGCUCAACCCCUUCCCGCCAUUGAAACUGGCGAUCUUGAGUGGAAGAGAAGUAUGCGGAAUGCGUGGUGUAGCGGUGAAAUGCAUAGAUAUCACGCAGAACCCCGAUUGCGAAGGCAGCAUGCCGGCUUCCGACUGACGCUGAAGCACGAAAGCGUGGGGAUCGAACAGGAUUAGAUACCCGUGUAGUC